AGAUUGAACGCUGGCGGCAUGCCUUACACAUGCAAGUCGAACGGUAACGCGGGGGCAACCCUGGCGACGAGUGGCGAACGGGUGAGUAAUACAUCGGAACGUACCCAGUAGUGGGGGAUAGCUCGGCGAAAGCCGGAUUAAUACCGCAUACGACCUACGGGUGAAAGCGGGGGAUCGAAAGACCUCGCGCUAUUGGAGCGGCCGAUGUCGGAUUAGCUAGUUGGUGAGGUAAAGGCUCACCAAGGCUACGAUCCGUAGCUGGUCUGAGAGGACGACCAGCCACACUGGGACUGAGACACGGCCCAGACUCCUACGGGAGGCAGCAGUGGGGAAUUUUGGACAAUGGGCGAAAGCCUGAUCCAGCCAUGCCGCGUGUGUGAAGAAGGCCUUCGGGUUGUAAGCCUUUGUACGGAGAAAGCUUGGGUUAAUAACCUUGAGUCAUGACGGUACCGUAAGAAUAAGCACCGGCUAACUUCGCGCCAGCAGCCGCGGU
This 493-nucleotide ribosomal RNA is filed under the name uncultured bacterium. RNAcentral's name for it is "SSU rRNA". It matches the Rfam family "Bacterial small subunit ribosomal RNA", at positions 26 to 521 of the family's 1533-position model. The record is from RNAcentral.